GGUAAAUGUUGUUUUUUAAAAUAUUAUUAUUAUUUCCUAUGGAUAAAUUUGCUUACAAACUACAUCAUGCAAUACUUUGAAGUGUUUCUGGGGAACUCUGGGAAACAUCUCUGGAAAGACCACACUUCCAUCCAGAAUGGGUAGUAGGAAGACACCGAAGAUAUGUGUGCAGAGAAGUACCUGCUAAAAUAAUGUUUUUGGAAUAUAUAUCAAACAGCGAUGUAGAAGACAGAUUAAAGAGUGACAAGGAGGCAACACCUGUGGUAUGUGCUUACUUCAAAGUGCCAAAUGUUGCAAAGGGAUUAUGAAAACUAGGUAUGUGCAGAAUAGAAAAACCGAUGCCCUGAAAGGAUGCAAAACCAUGUCACAUGAGGAUAUGCAGAAGGGAAUGAGAAUCUUUAACUUGCAGGAGUAGAGUUAACGAGUGGGGUGGAAUGCAAGAGCAGUUGUCUUUAGACAUUUGAAGAGCUGCCUUAUGAAGGAAUGAUUUCUACUACUCU
Molecule: long non-coding RNA, 500 nt
Organism: Gorilla gorilla gorilla (western lowland gorilla)
Lineage: Eukaryota; Metazoa; Chordata; Mammalia; Primates; Hominidae
Exons: 3
Source: RefSeq, a predicted model, not a curated record